Molecule: long non-coding RNA, 356 nt
Organism: Anthonomus grandis grandis
Lineage: Eukaryota; Metazoa; Arthropoda; Insecta; Coleoptera; Curculionidae
Exons: 2
Source: RefSeq, a predicted model, not a curated record
AGUGCUAAAUUUCUUCUGGAACAAAGUCAACAUCAGACCUGCGCAAAGAUGAAGAGCCAAUUCGAGAUGACGGUGUCGGAGGAGAAGGUGAACAUGGACCACUUCCGGUUGGAUUCGAUCGAGGACUUGGAUCAGAGCGACGAUGAGGAUUUCAUCACGUGCGAUAUGUGCCACAAGUGCGAGCGGCGCCCGCUCGUUUUCAAUACAGUGAUGAUCACGUUGCAUUUGGUCCUUCUGGCCUCAAUUUAUUUCGUUAUCCAAUAUUUCACCAACUGAGACAGCAGCAGCGGUACAGUUCAUUAGUACUUAAGAUUAUAUGUAAAUCACGAAUUAAAAAAAAAUCGUUUAAUAAUCUA